RNAcentral lists this ribosomal RNA (253 nucleotides) under uncultured bacterium. RNAcentral's name for it is "partial 16S ribosomal RNA". It matches the Rfam family "Archaeal small subunit ribosomal RNA", at positions 474 to 727 of the family's 1478-position model. The record is from RNAcentral.
UACCAGCUCACCGAGUGGUCGGGACGAUUAUUGGGCCUAAAGCAUCCUUAGCCGGCCUUACAAGUCCUCCGUUAAAUCCAGCUGCUUAACAGAUGGGCUGCGGAGGAUACUAUAAGACUAGGAGGCAGGAGAGGCAAGCGGUACUCAGUGGGUAGGGGUAAAAUCCGUUGAUCCAUUGAAGACCACCAGUGGCGAAGGCGGCUUGCCAGAAUGCGCUCGACGGUGAGGGAUGAAAGCUGGGGGAGCAAACCGG